GGAAGUAAAAGUCGUAACAGGGUUUCCGUAGGUGAACCUGCGGAAGGAUCAUUACAGAGUUCAUGCCCUCACGGGUAGAUCUCCCACCCUUGAAUAUUUAUACCUUAGUUGCUUUGGCAGGCCGUGGAAACACCAUGGGCUCCGGCCUAUGCGUGCCUGCCAGAGGAAACAAACUCUGUUUUUAGUGAUGUCUGAGUACUAUAUAAUAGUUAAAACUUUCAACAACGGAUCUCUUGGUUCUG
Molecule: unclassified non-coding RNA, 242 nt
Filed under: plant metagenome
Description: partial contains small subunit ribosomal RNA, internal transcribed spacer 1, and 5.8S ribosomal RNA
Rfam family: Eukaryotic small subunit ribosomal RNA (bases 1-54)
Source: RNAcentral